Molecule: long non-coding RNA, 1953 nt
Filed under: Salmo salar (Atlantic salmon)
Lineage: Eukaryota; Metazoa; Chordata; Actinopteri; Salmoniformes; Salmonidae
Description: lncRNA (ENSSSAG00000103462.1)
Source: RNAcentral
AGGGGACAGGGAUACUGGAGUGAUGGAGGUAGAUAUGUAUAGGGGGAAGGAGACAGGGAUACUGGAGGGAUCGAGGUAGAUAUGUAUAAGGGACAGGGAUACUGGAGUGAUGGAGGUAGAUAUGUAUAGGGGGAAGGGGAUAGGGAUACUGGAGUGAUGGAGGUAGAUAUGUAUAGGGUUAAGGUGACUAGAGUGUGAGAGAGUGUACAUAGAGACAGUGCAAAAAUAAAAUACAAGGGUCAACUUAGAGAAUCCAUGCUGUUAGCUAUUUAGUCAGCUAUAUAGCAGUCUUAUGGCUUGGGGAUAGAAGUUGUUCAGAGGCUGUUCGGCUUUGCAUUUAGACCAAAAAGUGUAUUUCCUUUUCCAUUUUGUAUUUAAAUUACUUUAGUGCUUUGUUGCGUGAUGCUAUCGCGUCUGCAUGGACCAACAUUCCUGUGGGAACAUUUCUGAUACCUUGUAGAAUGCCCCAGAGAAUUCAGGUUGUUCUGGAGGCAAAGGGAGUCCGACCCGGUACUAGAUGGGAGUACCUAAUAAACUGUCCGGUGAGUGUAUAAUCCACAGCAUAAUUAUUAACUUAAACCAUGCUUAAAGAGAUAUUCAAAUAUCUGAUUUGUUAUUGUUAUGCAGCUACCAAUCGCUGUCCUUCUUUAUGAGGCUUUCGUAAAGCUCCCUGGUCUUUGUAGUUUAACCUGUGCUUGAUAUUCUAAUACUUGACUGAGGGACUGAUGUUAUAUGUUUUGGGGGACCGAGGAAGUCAUUCAAAAAUCAUGUCAUCCCCUAUUAUUCCAUGUAAAUUAUUGUGUGAUUUGUUAAGGCACAUUUUACUCCUGAACUAAGUUACUCUUGACAUAACAAAGGGUCUGAAUACUUAUACAAUGAUUAUUUUAGUUAUGAUUUUUUUUAUUUCUAUUAACUUUUAUUUUUUUUUAAAUCUUCCACUUUGACAUGAGAGUGUUUGGUGUAGAUUGUUGACAAAAAAAAAAAAGACAAUUCAAUUAAUUUUAAUCCCACUUGUGAAGAAAUCCAAAAGUGUCUGAAUUAUUUUGCGAGGUACUGUAUACGCAUAUUAUUAUCAAUAUUAUCAUAUGCGUCUCUGUUUCAGCACCGACUGGUAGAUUUAAAAAUACUCUAAUUUUGUAGAUUAUUUAGGCAGGAUUAGUUUUAAACAGGUUUGGACAAGCCUUUUACGCACCGAAUAUAUUGAUGAAUCAAAAAUGGUGGUUUGAUUCAUCCUGAAAUUUGCCAUAUUGAAGUUCAAUCAAUCAACCAAUGGGAAGGUGAGAAAAGUGUACAAUAGGGGUUGAUCAAUAGUCCUAUAAAUCUACCCUGAUAAUCACUAAUCAUGGAACUAUAGUCCUAGAAAUUACCCUGAUAAUCACUAAUCAUGGAACUAUAGUCCUAUAAAUCUACCCAGACAGAACGCGUCUCCUUCCUGAGCGGUAUGACGGCUGCGUGGUCCCAUGGUGUUUAUACUUGCGUACUAUUGUUUGUACAGAUGAACGUGGAACCUUCAGGCGUUUGGGAAAUUGCUCCCAAGGAUGAACCAGACUUUUUGGUGAGGUCUUGGCUGAUUUUUUUUAGAUUUUCCCAUGAUGUCAAGCAAAGAGGCACUGAGUUUGAAGGUAGGUCUUGAAAUACAUCCACAGGUACACCUCCAAUUGACUCAAAUGAUAUCAAUUAGUCUAUCAGAAGCUUCUAAAUACAUGCCAUAGUUUUCUGGGAUUUUCCAAGCUGUUUAAAGGCACAGUCAACUUAGUGUAUGUAAACUUCUGACCCACUGGAAUUGUGAUACAGUGAAUUAUAAGUGAAAUAAUCUGUCUGUAAACAAUUGUUGGAAAAAUGACUUGUGUCAUGCACAAAGUAGAUGUCCUAACCUACUUGCCAAAACUAUAGUUUGUUAACAAGGAAUUUGUGGAGUGGUUGAAAAAUGAGUUUUAAUGACUCCAACCUAAG